RNAcentral lists this ribosomal RNA (525 nucleotides) under uncultured Gallionellaceae bacterium. RNAcentral describes it as "bacterial SSU rRNA". It matches the Rfam family "Bacterial small subunit ribosomal RNA", at positions 8 to 526 of the family's 1533-position model. The record is from RNAcentral. Lineage: Bacteria; Pseudomonadati; Pseudomonadota; Betaproteobacteria; Nitrosomonadales; Gallionellaceae.
AGAGUUUGAUCCUGGCUCAGAUUGAACGCUGGCGGCAUGCUUUACACAUGCAAGUCGAACGGCAGCACGGGGGCAACCCUGGUGGCGAGUGGCGAACGGGUGAGUAAUAUAUCGGAACAUGUCCGGAAGUGGGGGAUAGCUCGGCGAAAGCCGGAUUAAUACCGCAUAUGCCCUGAGGGGGAAAGGAGGGGAUUCGCAAGGACCUUUCGCUUUCGGAGUGGCCGAUAUCGGAUUAGCUAGUUGGUGAGGUAAAGGCUCACCAAGGCGACSAUCCGUAGCUGGUCUGAGAGGACGACCGGCCACACUGGAACUGAGACACGGUCCAGACUCCUACGGGAGGCAGCAGUGGGGAAUUUUGGACAAUGGGGGAAACCCUGAUCCAGCCAUGCCGCGUGAGUGAAGAAGGCCUUCGGGUUGUAAAGCUCUUUCAGACGGAAAGAAACGGUUACAGAUAAUACCUGUGACUAAUGACGGUACCGUCAGAAGAAGCACCGGCUAACUACGUGCCAGCAGCCGCGGUAAUAC